This 103-nucleotide microRNA precursor is filed under the name Marmota monax (woodchuck). Lineage: Eukaryota; Metazoa; Chordata; Mammalia; Rodentia; Sciuridae. The record is from RNAcentral.
AGUGGGAUAGCUGGGUCAAAUGGUGGUUCCAUUCCAAGUUUUCUGAGGAAUCUCCAAACCACUUUCCAUAAUGGUUGCACCAAUUUGCAGUCCCGCCAGCAAU